CGUGGAGUCAAACAGGUCUUUCAGAUCCAUCAGCAUGUCCAAAGUCGUUUUAUGGUGUCGUUUGUGAUGAAAACUCCGAUUCUGUUUUCUCCAUUUCUCUUGACGGGCUUGGGCUUGUGGGUGACUUGAAGUUCUCAACUCUUAGUGGGUUGAAGCAGCUCAAAAUUCUUAGUCUUUCUGGUAAUUCUUUUACCGGUAGGGUUGUUCCUGCUUUGGGUUCUAUGUUAACUCUUCAGCGUUUGGAUCUGUCUGGGAAUCAGUUUUAUGGACCAAUUCCAGCACGAAUUAAUGAGCUUUGGG
RNAcentral lists this unclassified non-coding RNA (300 nucleotides) under Hevea brasiliensis (rubber tree). The record is from RNAcentral. Lineage: Eukaryota; Viridiplantae; Streptophyta; Magnoliopsida; Malpighiales; Euphorbiaceae.